GAAUUGCGAAAAGUAAUGUGAAUUGCAGAAUUCCGAGAAUCAUCGAAUCUUUGAACGCAACUUGCGCGCCCCGUGUAAGCGGGGGGCAUGGCUGUUUGAGGGUCACGCUAUGAUUCGCGUGCACGGUGCGUGAGCACCGGGUGCGCGGGAGUGAGUUGGGCGGGAGGGACCUUCUCUUCCGGCAGCUUGAAAUACAUGGCAGGCAGUGCUGUGUGGGUGACACAUUGACCGGCGUAGUAGUUCUCUGAGGAGAUUUCACACCGCGCAGGGUCAGUGUGGCGCGUAGGCAGUGCAGCGUGCGGGAGCGAAAAAGUGGAGCGGGGGCGCACCGCACCCCCCUCCUCCCAUGUGACCUCAAAUCAGCCAAGAUUACCCGCUGGAUUUAA
RNAcentral lists this unclassified non-coding RNA (386 nucleotides) under uncultured fungus. RNAcentral describes it as "sequence contains ITS1". The stretch from base 1 to 105 matches the Rfam family "5.8S ribosomal RNA", at positions 50 to 154 of the family's 154-position model. The record is from RNAcentral. Lineage: Eukaryota; Fungi.